Molecule: long non-coding RNA, 1277 nt
Filed under: Notechis scutatus (mainland tiger snake)
Lineage: Eukaryota; Metazoa; Chordata; Lepidosauria; Squamata; Elapidae
Description: lncRNA (ENSNSUG00000000457.1)
Source: RNAcentral
GACGCUAGGGAGGUCUGCCACGAACCCCACUGGGUGGUCUGAAGAGCCAAGGGUUCAACCCCCAGCCUCUCCGAAGGAAAGAUCGGCACAACCUCCGAAGGCAGCGCGGCUGAAUCGGUCUCUCUUUUUGGCCAUGACCGACGUGGGAAACGGCUGCAUUUUGUGGGAAGCUGCCACAUUUCAUCUCCUUUCGCUUUGGUUCUGAUCCUGCCAGUUUGGGGGGACGCUCCCCCAAACCCAGCCUGACUCAGAGGCCUUCCUUUUCUCUCUCUUUCCUUCCUUCUCUUCUUUUUCUUUAUUUCCAUUUUCCUUCCUUUCUCUUCCUUCCUUCUUUGUUUCCUUCUUUCCUUUUUCUUUCCUUCCCUCUCCUCCUAAUUUUUCUCUUUUUUUCCUUCCUUCCCUUCUUUUUUGUUUUCUCUUUCCUUUCCUUCCUUUUUCUUUUCCUUCUUUCUAUUUUCCUUCCUUUCUCUUCCUUUUUUGUUUCCUUCUUUCCUUUUUCCUUCCUUUCUUCUCUUCCUAAUCUUUCUUUUUUUCCUUCCUUCCUUUCCUUCUUUCCUUUUCUUCCUUUUUCUUUUCCUUCUUUCCAUUUUCCUUCCUUUCUCUUCCUUCCUUUUUGCUUCCUUCUUUCCUUUUUCCUUCCUUCUCUUCCUAAUCUUUCUUUUUUCCUUCCUUCCUUCUUUUUUUUUCUGUUUCCUCUUUCCUUCCUUCUGUUCCUUUUUCUUUUCCCUUCUGUCCAUUUUUCUUCCUUUCUCUUCCUUCCUUCCUCCAGGAAGAACAGAAAAAGCUUCUUGGGUGAGAAGCAAAACGCUUUUAAAGCCCAAGAAAGUCCAGCUGCCUUUUGCAAAAAGCUCCUUUUGGGGGCAACCGUGGCCCAGCGUGCUGGGGUGCUCCUAACCCUUCUGGGCCCAUGCGCCUUGAAAGGGGGCCCUUUCCCUCUGCCCGUCCCUUUCAGGAGGCGCUCUCAUGCGCGAGCAUCGCACCCUCCCUGUGCAAAAGGGCAAAGCAAGGCAACCCCAGAGCCCUUGGGACCCUGUUUCUCUCAGCAGAGGGUUGCAGGUUGAGAAGGGGGCGGGCUAUCUUGUAACACCCCUCCCCUCUUUUUGGGGGUGGGUGGGGGUGGGGUGUGUGGAAUUCACACAUACGCAUUCUCUAUUCUGCCCAGCUCUGCUCCAAGAGAAGGACUCUGGGUCAAUUUUGUAGGUCAACACUGUUGCUGUACCAGGUUGGAAAGUUGAAGGUUGAAUAAAAAAGGAUCUAUCUUUCUUUCUCUUUUUUUU